AGAGUUUGAUCCUGGCUCAGGAUGAACGCUAGCGGCAGGCUUAACACAUGCAAGUCGAGGGGUAGAGGAAGCUUGCUUCCUUGAGACCGGCGCACGGGUGCGUAACGCGUAUGCAAUCUACCUUAUACAGGGGGAUAGCCCAGAGAAAUUUGGAUUAAUACCCAUAGUAUAAUUGAAUGGCAUCAUUUAAUUAUUAAAGUUCCAACGGUAUAAGAUGAGCAUGCGUCCCAUUAGCUAGUUGGUGUGGUAACGGCACACCAAGGCGACGAUGGGUAGGGGUCCUGAGAGGGAGAUCCCCCACACUGGUACUGAGACACGGACCAGACUCCUACGGGAGGCAGCAGUGAGGAAUAUUGGUCAAUGGGCGCAAGCCUGAACCAGCCAUGCCGCGUGCAGGAUGACGGUCCUAUGGAUUGUAAACUGCUUUUGUACAGGAAGAAACACUCCCUCGUGAGGGAGCUUGACGGUACUGUAAGAAUAAGGAUCGGCUAACUCCGUG
This 499-nucleotide ribosomal RNA is filed under the name uncultured bacterium. RNAcentral's name for it is "bacterial SSU rRNA". It matches the Rfam family "Bacterial small subunit ribosomal RNA", at positions 8 to 507 of the family's 1533-position model. The record is from RNAcentral.